Molecule: ribosomal RNA, 1175 nt
Filed under: Acinetobacter baumannii
Lineage: Bacteria; Pseudomonadati; Pseudomonadota; Gammaproteobacteria; Moraxellales; Moraxellaceae
Description: partial 23S ribosomal RNA
Rfam family: Bacterial large subunit ribosomal RNA
Source: RNAcentral
GGGAAGUGCGAACGUAGAGGGUGAUAUUCCCGUACACGAAAGGGCACACAUAAUGAUGACGAGUAGGGCGAGGCACGUGAAACCUUGUCUGAAUAUGGGGGGACCAUCCUCCAAGGCUAAAUACUCCUGACUGACCGAUAGUGAACCAGUACCGUGAGGGAAAGGCGAAAAGAACCCCUGUGAGGGGAGUGAAAUAGAUCCUGAAACCGCAUGCAUACAAGCAGUGGGAGCACCUUCGUGGUGUGACUGCGUACCUUUUGUAUAAUGGGUCAGCGACUUAUAUUCAGUAGCGAGGUUAACCGUAUAGGGGAGCCGUAGAGAAAUCGAGUCUUAAUAGGGCGUUUAGUUGCUGGGUAUAGACCCGAAACCAGGCGAUCUAUCCAUGAGCAGGUUGAAGGUUGGGUAACACUAACUGGAGGACCGAACCCACUGUCGUUGAAAAGCCAGGGGAUGACUUGUGGAUAGGGGUGAAAGGCUAAUCAAGCCUGGUGAUAGCUGGUUCUCCCCGAAAGCUAUUUAGGUAGCGCCUCGGACGAAUACCAUAGGGGGUAGAGCACUGUUUCGGCUAGGGGGUCAUCCCGACUUACCAAACCGAUGCAAACUCCGAAUACCUAUGAGUACUAUCCGGGAGACAGACUGCGGGUGCUAACGUCCGUAGUCAAGAGGAAAACAAUCCAGACCGCCAGCUAAGGCCCCAAAAUCAUAGUUAAGUGGGAAACGAUGUGGGAAGGCAUAGACAGCUAGGAGGUUGGCUUAGAAGCAGCCACCCUUUAAAGAAAGCGUAAUAGCUCACUAGUCGAGUCGGCCUGCGCGGAAGAUGUAACGGGGCUAAAACUAUGUGCCGAAGCUGCGGAUGUAUACUUUGUAUACGUGGUAGGGGAGCGUUCUGUAAGCCGAUGAAGGUGUGUUGAGAAGCAUGCUGGAGGUAUCAGAAGUGCGAAUGCUGACGUGAGUAACGACAAAACGGGUGAAAAACCCGUUCGCCGAAAGACCAAGGGUUCCAGUCCAACGUUAAUCGGGGCUGGGUGAGUCGACCCCUAAGGCGAGGCCGAAAGGCGUAGUCGAUGGGAAAAUGGUUAAUAUUCCAUUACUUCUGUGUAAUGCGAUGAGAGGACGGAGAAGGCUAAAUCAGCCUGGCGUUGGUUGUCCAGGUGAAAGGAUGUAGGCAUGUAUCU